AGUGAACGCUGGCGGUAGGCCUAACACAUGCAAGUCGAACGGCAGCACAGUAAGAGCUUGCUCUGACGGGUGGCGAGUGGCGGACGGGUGAGGAAUACAUCGGAAUCUACUUUUUCGUGGGGGAUAACGUAGGGAAACUUACGCUAAUACCGCAUACGACCUACGGGUGAAAGCAGGGGAUCUUCGGACCUUGCGCGAUUGAAUGAGCCGAUGUCGGAUUAGCUAGUUGGCGGGGUAAAGGCCCACCAAGGCGACGAUCCGUAGCUGGUCUGAGAGGAUGACCAGCCACACUGGAACUGAGACACGGCCCAGACUCCUACGGGAGGCAGCAGUGGGGAAUAUUGGACAAUGGGCGCAAGCCUGAUCCAGCCAUACCGCGUGGGGGAAGAAGGCCUUCGGGUUGUAAAGCCCUUUUGUUGGGAAAGAAAAGCAGCAGGUUAAUACCCCGCUGUUCUGACGGUACCCAAAGAAUAAGCACCGGCUAACUUCGUG
This 492-nucleotide ribosomal RNA is filed under the name uncultured bacterium. Its description in RNAcentral is "partial 16S ribosomal RNA". It matches the Rfam family "Bacterial small subunit ribosomal RNA", at positions 29 to 507 of the family's 1533-position model. The record is from RNAcentral.